Long non-coding RNA from Orcinus orca (killer whale), 3753 nucleotides. RefSeq lists it as uncharacterized. The transcript is spliced from 2 exons. The record is from RefSeq and is a predicted model, not a curated record. NCBI's taxonomy places the organism in Eukaryota, Metazoa, Chordata, Mammalia, Artiodactyla, Delphinidae.
CACCUGCGGGGAGGGGCGGCGAGAGCCGGGCCCUCGCGCGCCUGCUUCCGCCUGUCGUAGGCGGGGAGGGUGGUCCGCUGCGGCUCGUCAUCAGCCGCGGAAUCUGCGUUUCUGUGUGAGUGACGCGGCGCUGUCGGGCUCCACUUCAACAGAACUCAGCGCUACACUCCUCUAACUGCUUUCCUGUUUGAAAAGGAUGUAAGAUAGACAUCCUUCCCACCAAGAAAUGAUCAAUUCAGGGAGGCAUUUCUUGGGGUCACCUUUCUAGGAGGAGGUGACUUGAGAUAGUAGGUGGAAAAACAAAGGCUUUGGCGUCGUGCACACGGGGUUCCAGCCUCUGCUCGCGUCACACACCCGCUCUGUGACACUGAACACAUCAACAAACCUCGGCGUGGUCGCGUCUUUAAGAUGCAGACAACAGUACCUACCCAAUAACGUAUUUUUGAGGAGCUCCCCUGGAGAUCAUAUUCAUCUCUGUCUCGUUUUCUUCCCUCGCUCUCUCCCUUCCUUCCUUUCAUUCUCUCCUUCAUUUUCUUUCUUUCCUCCUUCAUUCCUCAUCUUUCUUCCCUUUUUUUAAAUUGAGGUAUAACUUUCACAUAAUACGCUGCACAGAUCCUAAGAGAACAGCUGGGUGAACUUUUACACAUGUAAUCAGCUCCCAGAUCAAGAUAUAGGAUAUUGAAAAUAUACCUCAUCACCCCAGGUGUCCACCUGCUCCUUCCCAGUUAAUACUUAUCACCCCAGAGGUAACCAGUAUUCUGGCUUCUAUUACUGUGUAUUAAUUUUGCCUGUUCUUAAACUUCAUAUAAUUGCAGCCAAAUAGUGUGCCUUCUCCCAUCUGGUUUCUUUCACCCAACGUAAUAUCUGUAAGAUUCAUCCAUGGUAUAUGCGUACAUCAGUAGUUUGUUUACUACUGGGUAGUAUCCUAUUGUAUGAAAUAUACAACAAUUAAUUUAUCCGUUCCACCAUUGACAGGCAUUUUGGUUUUCAGUUUUCAGUUAUUAGGAAUGAAGGUGCUGUGAGCAUUCAUAUGGUCUUUUGGUGAGUACCUGCACACAAUCUUGGGUUUAUACAGAUGAGUGGACAUUUUAUGUCAUAGGAUAAGUAUAUGUUUAGUUUUAAUAGACACUGCUUAGCAGUUCCCCCCCCCCCCAAAGUUGAAUUGAUAUAUGAAAGUUAGUUACUUCACAUCAUUGCCAACCGUUGGCAUUAACAGUUUUUUGUUUUUGUUUUUUUUUUUGCGGUACGUGGGCCCCUCACUGUUGCGGCCCCUCCCGUUGCGGAGCACAGGCUCCGGACGCGCAGGCUCAGCGGCCAUGGCUCACGGGCCCAGCCGCUCCGCGGCAUGUGGGAUCUUCCCGGACCGGGGCACGAACCCGCGUCCCCUGCAUCGGCAGGCGGACUCUCAACCACUACGCCACCAGGGAAGCCCCGGCAUUAACAGUUUUUAAAACAAUUUCUUGGGAAAUGCGGGACCAUCGUCUCUCGUGAUGCUGGGCAGUGACAGCGAGUGCUGAAUGUGUUUCACUUUUGCAACAUCAUAAAGUGGAAAAAUUGUAAGUCAAACCACUGUAAGUUGGGGACCGUCUGUACUUGCAUCUUUCUGGUACUUGAUGAGCCCACCUCCCCCAGAGAAGCCUCUUGGGGCAAUACAGCCUGCCUCAAACUUUCUGUUCAGUGGCGUCUGGUCACCAAACUGAGUGUAGAAUGGGGUCCAGUCAAUGUUGACAUGGCUUUACAACGUGCCAACAACCACGGACCAUCCCAGGCAGGAACAGGGAACGUGGAGCAGUGCCUGGGGUGGGAGCUGGGGUGGGGUCAGGGCCUUAGAGUGGCAGACUUGGUGGCAGCUUUUAUUCAAGGGCUGACGCAGGCUUCCUAUUCUAUCAUUAAAACACCUGUGCAGCGGUUGAUUGUUUUUGCAGAAAUCUGCAACUAGAGCGUCUCUGCUUAGAUUCUGAUCUUAGAUUCUGAGCCCCUUGAGAGCUCUGAUCUCUCUCUAAGUGCUUUUAAAUUCAGUAUGAAAGAGACUACAGAACGUUUCCUGGGAACAAGUGUUGAAAGCGGGGAGGAGCAUGGAAAGCCGAGGCCCUGGUGGCCUAAGGUAACCCACCCCCUCCUUUGUGGCUCUGUGCCUAGGGCCCACCUGUGUGUAGCGCUGGAGAGAAACCAGCCUGCUCUGCGCAUACGUGCUCCUGGGCACACUUUCUUUCUGGGUUAUGUCUUUAGUAAUUUGUUAUCAAGAAAAAAGACUCCCAACAAAGUCAUGUUGCUUGCACAAUCCUAAAGGUGAUAAAUUACCCAAGAUGCUCAUAGACAAGGGUGGGUCCACCUGAGGUCACGUAAAACCAGGGUGGAUUGACCUAAGGUCAAAAUUGAACAGGACCUGUUGGGAACUGUUGACUUCCCACCACGGCAUGCAGUGUAAGUAUCAUGAAGCAGGAACAAACAGCUUCCUUUUCUUAUUGCAAAAAUAAUACACAAUUGUAAAAAACAAAAAUUGAGAAAAUACAGACAAGCGAAAAUUUAAAAAAUCAUCCAUAAUUGUAUUAUAUUUUAGCUACAUCUUUUAAGUCUUUUUUGCUCCUUCCUUCCCUCUCUGCUUUCCUCCCUUCCUCCCUCCCUCCCUUCCUUCCUCCCUUCCUUCCUUCUUUCCUUCCUUCCUUCCUUCCUUCCUUCCUUCCUUCCUUCCUUCCUCUCUCUUUCCCUCCUUCCUUUAUACCUUUGCAAUGGGAGGCAUUUAACCACUUUCUCUGCUUAGGAAUUUCAUGAACUAGAUAUUUUCAGUGUCUGUGCUCCCCACCGCUCACCUUCAUCCCCUUCCUCUCCUGGGGCAUAUUCUCCUCUCAUCUUUUCAUACCCUAGGACAGUUUAAGAUGGGGUUAUCCUCAUGGGUAGGAUCAGAGACUAAGCCGAGCCUCAGUGUGAAGCUGCACCUUGCCGAUGGCCUAACGCCCCUGGGUGUUAACUCUGCUGCUGCUCGGACUACCGCUCCCUCACACCUCUCUCCAGACGUUGAACAGGUGACCGACCAUACUGGAUGCUCUAAUAUGAUGGUAGCGGUGUUUAGGGGCAGGGCACGGGACAAUCAGCAGAAAGAUUUUUACUUUUCUUAAAUUGAGGUUUAUCACACAAACAAUAAAGUGCCUGAAGACACUCAUCUCAAGUGCACAACUCAAAACAGUUUUACUUUUGUGGACACCUACAUGCUGACAUCCCAGCUCAAGACAGAAAAUAUUUCCAGCACCCUGGAACUUACCCUUAUGUUCCUUCCCAGUCAAUAUCCAUUCUCCCUGCACCCCUGCCUCCCACACAUGAAGGUAAACACCAUUUUCAUUUCUUUUAAUGUGCACUUUUUAUAUCUGGCUCCUUUUGUUCAAAAUGAUGUCCGGGAGGGACUUCCCUGAUGGCGCAGUGGUUAAGAGUCUGCCUGCCAAUGCAGGGGACAUGGGUUCGAGCCCUGGUACAGGAAGAUCCCACAUGCCACGGAGCCACUAAGCCGGUGCAUCACAACUACUGAGCCUGCGCUCUAGAGCCCGUGAGCCACAACUACUGAGCCCGUGUGCCACAACUACUGAAGCCCGCACGCCUAGAGUCCAUGCUCCGCAACAAGAGAAGCCACCGCAAUGAGAAGCCCGUGCACCGGCACAAAGAACAGCCCCCGCUCGCCGCAACUAGAGAAAGCCCGUGCACAGCAACGAAGACCCAACACAGCCAAACAUAAAUAAAUAUUUAAAAUGUGUUAAAAAAAAA